Non-coding RNA from Pelobates cultripes (western spadefoot toad), 222 nucleotides. NCBI's taxonomy places the organism in Eukaryota, Metazoa, Chordata, Amphibia, Anura, Pelobatidae. The record is from the annotation of a GenBank genome assembly.
AGAAACGAGACCAUGACAUUACAACUAACAACCUUAAACGUCAAAGGGCUCAAUGCGCCACGGAAGAGGCGGCUACUCUUUAGAGAACUCAAGCGGUUGAGAGCAGAUGUAGCCUUCCUUCAGGAAACACAUUUGCCAAAAAGCGUUAGGUUUGGGCUGCGAGACCGUAUUUAUUCCGUGGCUUAUGAGGAAAGGGCAUUCCGAAAACAGAACGGAGUGGCG